CGUACACAAAAAUGCACAUGCUGUGAGCUCGAUGAGUAGGGCGGGACACGUGGUAUCCUGUCUGAAUAUGGGGGGACCAUCCUCCAAGGCUAAAUACUCCUGACUGACCGAUAGUGAACCAGUACCGUGAGGGAAAGGCGAAAAGAACCCCGGCGAGGGGAGUGAAAAAGAACCUGAAACCGUGUACGUACAAGCAGUGGGAGCACGCUUAGGCGUGUGACUGCGUACCUUUUGUAUAAUGGGUCAGCGACUUAUAUUCUGUAGCAAGGUUAACCGAAUAGGGGAGCCGAAGGGAAACCGAGUCUUAACUGGGCGUUAAGUUGCAGGGUAUAGACCCGAAACCCGGUGAUCUAGCCAUGGGCAGGUUGAAGGUUGGGUAACACUAACUGGAGGACCGAACCGACUAAUGUUGAAAAAUUAGCGGAUGACUUGUGGCUGGGGGUGAAAGGCCAAUCAAACCGGGAGAUAGCUGGUUCUCCCCGAAAGCUAUUUAGGUAGCGCCUCGUGAAUUCAUCUCCGGGGGUAGAGCACUGUUUCGGCAAGGGGGUCAUCCCGACUUACCAACCCGAUGCAAACUGCGAAUACCGGAGAAUGUUAUCACGGGAGACACACGGCGGGUGCUAACGUCCGUCGUGAAGAGGGAAACAACCCAGACCGCCAGCUAAGGUCCCAAAGUCAUGGUUAAGUGGGAAACGAUGUGGGAAGGCCCAGACAGCCAGGAUGUUGGCUUAGAAGCAGCCAUCAUUUAAAGAAAGCGUAAUAGCUCACUGGUCGAGUCGGCCUGCGCGGAAGAUGUAACGGGGCUAAACCAUGCACCGAAGCUGCGGCAGCGACACUAUGUGUUGUUGGGUAGGGGAGCGUUCUGUAAGCCUGUGAAGGUGUGCUGUGAGGCAUGCUGGAGGUAUCAGAAGUGCGAAUGCUGACAUAAGUAACGAUAAAGCGGGUGAAAAGCCCGCUCGCCGGAAGACCAAGGGUUCCUGUCCAACGUUAAUCGGGGCAGGGUGAGUCGACCCCUAAGGCGAGGCCGAAAGGCGUAGUCGAUGGGAAACAGGUUAAUAUUCCUGUACUUGGUGUUACUGCGAAGGGGGGACGGAGAAGGCUAUGUUGGCCGGGCGACGGUUGUCCCGGUUUAAGCGUGUAGGCUGGUUUUCCAGGCAAAUCCGGAAAAUCAAGGCUGAGGCGUGAUGACGAGGCACUACGGUGCUGAAGCAACAAAUGCCCUGCUUCCAGGAAAAGCCUCUAAGCAUCAGGUAACAUCAAAUCGUACCCCAAACCGACACAGGUGGUCAGGUAGAGAAUACCA
This 1303-nucleotide ribosomal RNA is filed under the name Escherichia coli. RNAcentral's name for it is "partial 23S ribosomal RNA". It matches the Rfam family "Bacterial large subunit ribosomal RNA", at positions 374 to 1683 of the family's 2925-position model. The record is from RNAcentral. Lineage: Bacteria; Pseudomonadati; Pseudomonadota; Gammaproteobacteria; Enterobacterales; Enterobacteriaceae.